GUGGGUAGCGGAGAAAUUCCAAUCGAACUUGGAGAUAGCUGGUUCUCUCCGAAAUAGCUUUAGGGCUAGCCUCGAGGUAAAGAGUCAUGGAGGUAGAGCACUGUUUGGACUAGGGGCCCUUCUCGGGUUACCGAAUUCAGAUAAACUCCGAAUGCCAUGUACUUAUACUCGGGAGUCAGACUGCGAGUGAUAAGAUCCGUAGUCGAAAGGGAAACAGCCCAGACCACCAGUUAAGGUCCCCAAAUAUAUGUUAAGUGGAAAAGGAUGUGGGGUUGCUUAGACAACCAGGAUGUUGGCUUAGAAGCAGCCACCAUUGAAAGAGUGCGUAAUAGCUCACUGGUCGAGUGACCCCGCGCCGAAAAUGUACCGGGGCUAAACAUAUUACCGAAACUGUGGAUGAACCUCUUUAGAGGUUCGUGGUAGGAGAGCGUUCUAAGGGCGGUGAAGUCAGACCGGAAGGACUGGUGGAGCGCUUAGAAGUGAGAA
This 486-nucleotide ribosomal RNA is filed under the name Listeria monocytogenes. RNAcentral's name for it is "bacterial LSU rRNA". It matches the Rfam family "Bacterial large subunit ribosomal RNA", at positions 811 to 1294 of the family's 2925-position model. The record is from RNAcentral. Lineage: Bacteria; Bacillati; Bacillota; Bacilli; Caryophanales; Listeriaceae.